UGGUGGGAGUUUAUUCGUCAGCAGAACUUGAGAAUGUUGCGGAGGCUCGGCCGUCGGAGAGGUUCGGGAAGAUGUCGCCGAAGGUCGGAUGUUGGUAGAACCCCUGGAGAGUCACUCCUGACACGAACUUCGGCUGGGGGGAGGGUAUUUUGUACCCAACACCAGUCCCCCUACUUCCGAGUUUGAGUUUCGGAUGAAGGAA
This 202-nucleotide long non-coding RNA is filed under the name Elaeis guineensis (African oil palm). Its description in RNAcentral is "long non-coding RNA (EGUI_LNC073945)". Lineage: Eukaryota; Viridiplantae; Streptophyta; Magnoliopsida; Arecales; Arecaceae. The record is from RNAcentral.